Molecule: long non-coding RNA, 873 nt
Organism: Coturnix japonica (Japanese quail)
Lineage: Eukaryota; Metazoa; Chordata; Aves; Galliformes; Phasianidae
Source: RefSeq, a predicted model, not a curated record
CAUUGCUUGCCUUAGGUGGUUAAUAAGAAGUUCAGGCUGUGAUCAACAGUUUCUCAUGCACCCUGCAGGGUAGUGAACACUUACAGUAAAUUUGCCAAUAGGUGUCUCACACAGAAAAUCAUGAGUCCUCUCUUGGAAGGUUCAGGUAUAGUCCAGGACCAAUAUCAGCAUUCAACUAAUUUGUUAGUGGCCAGGAGUUAGGACAGAAUUGUGGGAAAAUGGUAAAUUGCAGAGGAAAUGUAACACAGUGUGGUUUUCAUAAGAACUUCUGCUGACUUUAAAAGACAGUAGAGAUCUGUGUAGAGCAGUGUGUGCGUUUUGUGACAUCACAAAAACCCUGAUUCAACACCAGCAUACCUUCCUCUUCUUUUCACUAUGUCCUUGUAGCCUACCAGCUCCACCACUAGGGGCUUCAGUUUGAUAUCUGCAUGCUGGAGGUAGUAUAACUGAUGGUUAUCUCUCAAAGAGAAGGACGCUGUCCCUAAGAAAGCGUAUGGAUUUCUCCAGGGUGUCAUAAUCAAUUCAGCAUUUUAUGCAACACUAUACAUAUGGCCAGGAAACGAAGUGGCCUGCUGUCUCUACAAUUGCACUGCAGGCCUGUGCCAUCCCUUGAGAUCAUUCUGCAGAGAUGCCGAGGGGAUGCUCUGAAAGAGGAAAUGGGGUUCCUGGCAGACAUGAAGGUGCCAUCAUGCUCCCUGGAAGCAGCAGUCUGAUGAGGAGCUCAUCGUUUAGCUUGCUAAAAGGGGCCAUUGAAACAAAUCUGUUCAGUCAAUCUGUGUCUUUGAAUGUGACACCACUGGCUCCCUUGCGACUGAGAACUUCUGAGUAUUAUUUGUGCAUUCAUCUCCAAUGAAAAACUGUCAGAAAAGACAA